AAACCUUUCUCUUCUGUUCCCAUCUAAUCCCGUCCCCUCUCUCUAUCAGAAGAGUGUAAGUGUAAUUAACCUUUUUCUGGGCAUCCGCCCAAUUCCACAGAUACGAUGGCACGCAUGUCUCUCUGUCUCUCUCUCACUCACACACACACACACACACACACACACACACACAGUACAACCUUGGGGUUGGGGGGGGGGGUCAGAGCACAAACUGCACACCCUCCGAGUAAAACGCAUGUGAGUAUUAUUAACAUGUUUGAGAACAAGCUGUUGACGCUCACCAGAAAUAACACAAUUGGGUUUCUUUAUCAUUACAAGUUAUAUAGCAUGCAAAAACCUUAUUUACGAUCAGGUUUUAAAGCUAUGAAGGCAUACGAAGCGUGACAAGAGUUAAAAACGCAUUAGGAGUCAAUUUCUGACCCUUUACUUCAUCACUACCGGCCAAUUGGACUGAUAAACCUCUAAACUGCUGUAUUCAGACUAUCGGUUUCUUGAGGUGAUGUCUCUAAUAAAAUAUUUCUAUCUGGCUGUGAAGUAACAGUUUCCAGGAACCCCAGAAAUCCAGAUGUUUGCUUCACACAUGAAUCAUGAAUUUACGGUAACCUAGAACAUUACGAGCUGAUAUCAUCACAGAGAAAUAAUCAAAAGAUAGAGGAAAGUUCCACCAGUAGUCAAGACGUGUGCACAAGCAAAGGAGGGAAAUUUGGAUGCCAAAUGUCUUGGCUGAUUGAAUACAUUUGAGCUAAGUGGGGAAAUUUCUCUACACCUCUAAUCCUGUGACUACGGAUCAUGGCUUAUAAUACGUCCUUGGCUUGUUAUAGAUCAAUUCUGACAGGAGUGAUAUUUUUGGUUUGACCCACUUGACAGUGGACCAAGUGAUAAUGAUACCAAAAAUGAAUUUCACACCCUGAUCCAAAUACUCCAGAACAAGAGCAUGGAGUUCCCUGUCAAACCCUCCCCACCCAGAUAUCUGGAACCAUCCAUUUGAAUACAGUACCUUCCACUACUAUUGGCACCACAAAGAUUAAAAUGGGCCAUGGUUGGAAUUCCAGCAAGACAGUGAUCCAAAGCAUACAUCAAAAUCAACACAGAAAUGGUUUACUGAGCACAAAAUCAAGGUCCUGCCAUGGCCAUCCCAGUCCCCUGACUGAACCCCAAAGAAAACCUGUGGGGUUAACUGAAGAGGAGAGUCCACCAGCGUGGACCUCGAAAUGUGAAGGAUCUGGAGAGAUUCUGUAUGGAGGAAUGGUUUCAGAUCCCUUGCCAUGUGUUCUCCAACCUCAUCAGGCGUUAUAGGAAAAGACUCAGAACGGUUAUCUUGGCAAAGGGAGGUAGUACAAAGUAUUGGCUAAAAGGAUGCCAAUAAUUGUUGCACACCUAUAUUUAACAUUUUUUUAGGAUAAACCUGUGUUUUGUUUGCAAUUGUUUGAUAACCAUGAGAGCAGAGUAUUUCUGUUAAUCUUUUGAACAUAAGAUCAAAAGGUUAAACAAUAAAGACCAUUUUUCACAGCCUUCUUUGCUCAUAUUUAACAAGGGUGCCAAUAUUAUUGGAGGGCACUGUAUGUUCUUGUGACUCACCUUCGGCUGUUGCGGAUUAUCCCACAUGGAUACCCUAAAGAUUUGUACUUCCCCAAAACAUUUUCUUGCUUCAGUGGAUAAUCUCCUACUUAAGUACUAUCCAGUGGAGAACUUCUACUUAAGAACCGCUGCUGUAAUCAUAAAAAACUGUCCCGUUGCUUAUCCCAGGACUCUUAUUUAUGAUCUACUCAUAGUGAUCAUCCCUUUUUCAAAAUCACACUCAGUCCUGUUUGUGUUUACUCUUCUAUACAUGUACAUUGUAAUGAUUAAGAUUGUCACAUAACAGCUUUACAGAAAUCAAUCAAUGUCUAUUGGUAAA
Ictalurus punctatus (channel catfish) is the source of this 1897-nucleotide long non-coding RNA. RefSeq lists it as uncharacterized. The transcript is spliced from 3 exons. Lineage: Eukaryota; Metazoa; Chordata; Actinopteri; Siluriformes; Ictaluridae. The record is from RefSeq and is a predicted model, not a curated record.